This 88-nucleotide transfer RNA is filed under the name Pneumocystis oryctolagi. Its description in RNAcentral is "tRNA-Tyr". It matches the Rfam family "tRNA". Rfam says of the family: Transfer RNA (tRNA) molecules are approximately 80 nucleotides in length. Lineage: Eukaryota; Fungi; Ascomycota; Pneumocystomycetes; Pneumocystales; Pneumocystaceae. The record is from RNAcentral.
GAGAAGAAUUCUAAUGUUGGUUCUUAGAAUUGGGCUGUAAACCCAUGGGUGAUUCACACUCUCGAGGGUUCAAUUCCCUCUCUUCUCA